Molecule: ribosomal RNA, 324 nt
Filed under: Triticum aestivum (bread wheat)
Lineage: Eukaryota; Viridiplantae; Streptophyta; Magnoliopsida; Poales; Poaceae
Description: partial small subunit ribosomal RNA
Source: RNAcentral
AUGUCCUCCCUGCCGCCCACCCUGACCCUCCCGCUGCCGAACGCGAAGACCGCCCCGAUGGCCACCACGGCCAGUGCCCCGCUCUUGCUGGUACCGGUCACCUCCGUCGCGCCCGUCCCUGUCGUCUUCACCCCGGAGGAGAUGACGGUUGUCAUCCGGGAUCUCACCCAGGCGGUCACGGGCAUCUACACGUUCCUCGCGAGAUCCUAUGGGCCGCAGCCGCCUGUGCCCUUCGCCACUGCCCCGCCGCCGCAGCAGCCGUCAUGGCAGCCACCAUCCUCGGUGACCCCUGUCGCCGCCGCCAUGCAGCAGCUGCCGUGGUAG